UUACCUCAAUAUUUUUAUGCAGUAUGAAUGGAUGUAGAGGGACAUGGCAGCAGUAGAUCGAGCAAGAACACCUUGGUUAAUUUUUACAAGGUAAUUAAGGCUCUUUAAUGUCAACCUCCCUACUUGUAACAAAGACUUGUGGUAUGACACUCCUUUCAUGGCUUUCAUCAAUGCAGGCAUCGUCCCAUGUAUUCCUCUUAUACAGGGCUGUUUAUUAAUAAUGUAGACAAGAAUUUUGUAAUUGAGGUGGAGCCACUAUUGUUAGACAACAAGGUUGAUCUAGCUUUGUGGGGGCAUGUUCAUAACUAUGAGAGGACGUGUGCUGUUUACGCCAAGCAAUGCCUGUAAAAGAUAGGAGAGAAAUCGACACUUACAAUAACACGGAUUAUAAGGCACCGGUUCAUGCUGUUAUCGAAAUGGGUGGCUUUCGCUUGGACCCCUCCCCUAUCACUGCUGAUAGCUGGAGCUUGGUCAGAAUAUCUGAAUAUGGAUAUGCAAGACUGCAUGCGACAAAGAAAGAAUUGAAAGUUGAGUACAUGAAUGCAAACUCAGGAAAUGUAAGAAACAGCUUCCAGAUAACCAAGGCCACAAGAAAGUAGACUUAGAUAGGAUACCUCAGCUAAAUAUACUGUAACAAUAUGAAAAAGAGUAGAAACAUUCCUCCUAAAAAUGUCUACUC
Ipomoea nil (Japanese morning glory) is the source of this 679-nucleotide long non-coding RNA. RefSeq lists it as uncharacterized. Lineage: Eukaryota; Viridiplantae; Streptophyta; Magnoliopsida; Solanales; Convolvulaceae. The transcript is spliced from 5 exons. The record is from RefSeq and is a predicted model, not a curated record.